GGUAAUGUGGCGCGCAAGGUACAGGCCGGAUCAAACGCAGCAGCCAGGAGGGCCAGCUCCGUCGUGCGGGCCGUGGAUGCACCCGAG
RNAcentral lists this non-coding RNA (87 nucleotides) under Dunaliella tertiolecta. Lineage: Eukaryota; Viridiplantae; Chlorophyta; Chlorophyceae; Chlamydomonadales; Dunaliellaceae. The record is from RNAcentral.